UGGGGAAUAUUGGACAAUGGGGGCAACCCUGAUACAGCGAUGCCGCGUGAGUGAAGAAGGCCUUCGGGUCGUAAAGCUCUUUAGGUUGGGAAGAAGUGUAUUGGGUUAAUACCCUGAUACGUUGACGGUACCGACAGAAUAAGCACCGGCAAACUCUGUGCCAGCAGCCGCGGUAAUACAGAGGGGGCGAGCGUUAAUCGGAUUUACUGGGCGUAAAGGGCGCGUAGGCGGUUCAAUGAGUGUGAUGUGAAAGCCCUGGGCUCAACCUAGGAAGUGCAUCGCAAACGAUUGAACUGGAGUAUAUGAGAGGGUGGUGGAAUUUCCGGUGUAGCAGUGAAAUGCGUAGAGAUCGGAAAGAACGUCGAUGGCGAAGGCAGCCACCUGGCAUAAUACUGACGCUGAGGCGCGAAAGCGUGGGGAUCAAA
Molecule: ribosomal RNA, 425 nt
Filed under: uncultured bacterium
Lineage: Bacteria
Description: bacterial SSU rRNA
Rfam family: Bacterial small subunit ribosomal RNA
Source: RNAcentral